Molecule: ribosomal RNA, 195 nt
Filed under: uncultured bacterium
Lineage: Bacteria
Description: partial 16S ribosomal RNA
Rfam family: Bacterial small subunit ribosomal RNA
Source: RNAcentral
CAACUCGACUGCACGAAGCUGGAAUCGCUAGUAAUCGCGGAUCAGCAUGCCGCGGCGAAUACGUUCCCGGGUCUUGUACACACCGCCCGUCACACCAUGGGAGCCGGUAAUACCCGAAGUCAGUAGUUUAACCCUUGUGGAGGACGCUGCCGAAGGUAGGAUUGGGCGACUGGGGUGAAGUCGUAACAAGGUAAC